Molecule: ribosomal RNA, 481 nt
Filed under: uncultured bacterium
Lineage: Bacteria
Description: partial 16S ribosomal RNA
Rfam family: Bacterial small subunit ribosomal RNA
Source: RNAcentral
GAUGAACGCUGGCGGCGUGCUUAACACAUGCAAGUCGAACGAAGCAUUUGCGACAGAUUUUUUCGGAAUGAAGUUGCUUAUGACUGAGUGGCGGAUGGGUGAGUAACGCGUGGGUACCCUGCCUUGUACUGGGGGAUAGCAGCUGGAAACGUCUGGUAAUACCGCAUAGGUGCACAAUGUUGCAUGACAUGGUGUGAAAAACUCCGGUGGUAUAAGAUGGACCCGCGUCUGCUUAGCUAGUUGGUGAGAUAACAGCCCACCAAGGCGACGAUCAGUAGCCGACCUGAGAGGGUGACCGGCCACAUUGGGACUGAGACACGGCCCAGACUCCUACGGGAGGCAGCAGUGGGGAAUAUUGCACAAUGGAGGAAACUCUGAUGCAGCGACGCCGCGUGAGUGAAGAAGUAAUUCGUUAUGUAAAGCUCUAUCAGCAGGGAAGAUAGUGACGGUACCUGACUAAGAAGCUCCGGCUAAAUACGUG